UGAGUUGUGGUUCAGUAGUAGUGUGCUUGCCUAGCAUGCAUGAGGCACUGGGUUCGAUUCUCAGCACCACAU
This 72-nucleotide transfer RNA is filed under the name Ictidomys tridecemlineatus (thirteen-lined ground squirrel). RNAcentral describes it as "Spermophilus tridecemlineatus (thirteen-lined ground squirrel) tRNA". It matches the Rfam family "tRNA". From Rfam's summary of the family: Transfer RNA (tRNA) molecules are approximately 80 nucleotides in length. The record is from Rfam by way of RNAcentral. Lineage: Eukaryota; Metazoa; Chordata; Mammalia; Rodentia; Sciuridae.